UCUAAACAAAACAUACAAACCUGAUACAGCCACACUAUUUAUUGUCCAUUGUUUGCGCUGAUCACACACACACAUUCCUAUUUCUAAUGACAGAGGUUAGUAGCAACCCCAGCAAGUCAAACUAGUGGCUCAGCCUUCAAUAAGCCCGAGCAGGACUAGAGCAACACAAAGAAUCCAUCCAUUCCAGACCUACCUUAAUCCACUAUCAAGAUGCACAUUCGAGAACAUCCUGUCAGGCUGUAUCACCGCCUGGUACGGCAACUGCUCCGCCCACAACCGCGAGGCUCUCCAGAGGGUGGUGCGGUCUGCACAACGCAUCACCGGGAGCAAACUACCUGCCCUCCAGGACACCUACAGCACCCGAUGUCACAGGAAGGCCAAAAAGAUCAAAGGCAACAACCACCCGAGCCACUGCCUGUUCACCCCGCUACCAUCCAGAAGGCGAGGUCAGUACAGGUGCAUCAAAGCAGGGACCGAGAGAGUGAAAAACAGCUUCUAUCUCAAGGCCAUUUGAUUUGAUCCUGACCACAAAAAAAUGUGGCUAAAAUGAAAUCCACAAUAGCCUAACCCUGAGAAGUGGGAUUUCCCCCUAGGGUGGUUGGGUUUAGGAGAGGUGGCAAUCUGCAGGCUUCCUCCACUUAAAAGCAGACCAUCCAUGUGUUCUUCUGUCCAUUAUAUUGCACACAGCUGUAACAUGGGAUAUGUCAUUCAUAAUAUAGGUUAUUUAACACAUUUUGCAUUAAUAGUGAUUGACAAUCCACCACACUUUGAGGAAACGUGCAAAAACGUCAAACAAGGUCAAAUAAAUACAAAGUGGACACUUUAUUUUACAAAUUAAUCUGUUUCUGUUUAUUUUUUUUCAUAUAUUGAUUUUUCUCAUUUAGACAAUGACUCAAAAUGUCAAUAACAAUGGCUAUAAUGUGAUAGAAGACAACAAAAAAAUGAGAUCCAAUAUACAUCAUAUAGACAUUAAAUACGUAUUGAAACAAACACCAAAAAGGAGAAUGUAAAACAACAAAAUAAACAUUUGAGUAAAAAAACAAGGUACAAGUCAGGGAAAAGCGUUGGUGUUUCAGCUGAAGUUCCCGCUCAAUGUCUAAAAGUGACACACAAUCAUUAAAGCCUUCUAUCCAAAAACCAUUGGUCGUCUUUCAUCGUCAGAGAAUAGAACAGCCAAUCAAUCACACUUUACAUCCAAGGGAAGGGGAUAGUAGUACAAGUAUGUCACGUCUAGAAAAUAACUACGGUGACGGCAUUCUGAGUAGAAUGACAGUUUUAAGGUAUGGCAGUGUAAAAAGUGCUGAUUCUCCCAUACUGAGGGAAUGAAGAUCAUCCCAACCCCACAUUCAUUGUGCUGGAGUACAGUAUAGCAUCAUUAUCAGAAUCCACCUGCAAUCUCUAGUCAUAUGUUCAAGACACAAGAACCAGUCUUAUCCAGGGCUAUACAUGAAUUCUCCACUAGUCUUUCCUCCUUUCGCAAAAUAAAUUCAUGUAAACGACAAGUAGAGUGAUGUUCAAUGUAGGGAUGUUGAGGACGCCUAGACCUGUUUCUCUAUCAGUGUGUGUGUGUGUGUGUGUGUGUGUGUGUGUGUGUAGAUCUUUGAAACCAAGAGACCCAAACAGACAGGCCCACAGAGCAGUCAGUAGCAAGGAGCCAUUCUACAUUGCGGGACAGGGACCUACUGGAUGGUGCAUACAAGAGGAGAGACUAAGACCACGAAGUAACUUUGACUGAAUAUAAAAAUAACCGUUUCUUGCAGUUCCAAUGUCAUUUCUCGAUGAUUUUUUUUUUUUUACGACUGGGAAUACAUUCUAUGCUAACAUGCAGAACUAGCAAGUGGUGCACUGUCUAUGUUAUAUUUCAGUGCAGGCCAUUCAGAAUAAUAGCAUUGAGAUCCUGGUAAGAGGACUAAGGUGCAUAUGUGCCAUUCAGUUCUCACGUAUUUCAUUGAUGAAGCUUUUGGGGAUUCUAGCAUUGUCUCUCAGUUCCAUCGCCAGUAUGUGAAGGAUCUCUUGGGUGGUUUGUGUUUGGGUGAAACUGCAGUGGAGAAACAGGUCUGUCAGUGCAACAGUUCAGGACAGUGGGUUUGAACAUGGAUGGAUCAAUGUGACGGGGUCAUGAUGAGAGAGGGCGGGGGCACCCACCUGCCGUGCCCACAUCUCAAAUCAUCUACACAUAGAGAGGCAAUCUGCUGGUUACAUGGCUGUCUUUGGAAGUGCUUCUGUGAGUGACUGAGGAAAAGCAGGUGACCCGUCCAGUCUAAACACUGCGUCUGCGGACGUAGAGCUACAUCAACCCAGUUGUCGCGCUCUCUCUCUCCAGUGUCUGUUACCCGCAACAGAUCAUUCAAGAACAUAAAGUCCUAUCAUGACCUGCCUGCCACGCCCACCUGGCUCCCACGAUCACACCCGUUCACAACAGCUGCAAGAAUGUGGAUUUAGAAACAGAUAUCAUAUUCAAGCGUCUCUCUGUCUCCCUUUCUGAUUCGAAAAGUGAAUCAAGGUUCAAGUUGGAAUUCAAUAAUUCAAGUAAUUUGUCGCUACAAAGUGAGGCUUUGUAGGUGAGACCCAUAGCUAGAUUGAUAGAUAGAUUAACUAGUCUAUGUUCCUGUCAUUGAGAAGCACCUUUUGUAAUAAACAUUGCAUUAUAUCAAUCCACAUUCUUGCAUUGUGUGUGUGUGUGUGUGUGUGUGUUGGACAACAGUGUUUGUUCAUAGGGUUAUGUGUUGCCGGGAAAAGUAGAGGAUUGCUCAGCAACUCAGAGAAGUACUUAUUGCUACAGCAAAUCAGAAUUGAAAUGCAUCAAUGUAAUUCAGGUAGUGUAGAACAGUGCCAGGUAUAAGCCCAUAGCAACCGCAGUUCACCUUAAACCACACAUCUCCUCUCUAUCUAAAACCAUAUCUCGUCAAACCAUUUGUUCUAAAUCACAUUUGUCUUGAAACAGAACAAAAGUUUGAAGGGUAUGUUAGUAUCAUAUUGCAGGUAAAAUACAGUCGAUAAAACUA
This is a long non-coding RNA of Oncorhynchus nerka (sockeye salmon), 3005 nucleotides long. RefSeq lists it as uncharacterized. The transcript is spliced from 3 exons. Lineage: Eukaryota; Metazoa; Chordata; Actinopteri; Salmoniformes; Salmonidae. The record is from RefSeq and is a predicted model, not a curated record.